AGGGGAAAUCCAUGGAGAUCUUCAGAGGUUUUCCUCUUUUUUCCCUUGCCCCGGAUAGGUGCCUUGGGGGCUGAAACUGAAGGUCUGGCAGCAGGAGCCUUCUUCCUCGAAGACACCUUGCAAGGCUAAAUACUCCUGGGUGACCGAUAGCGAAGUAGUACCGUGAGGGAAGGGUGAAAAGAACCCCCAUCGGGGAGUGAAAUAGAACAUGAAACCU
Molecule: long non-coding RNA, 217 nt
Filed under: Helianthus annuus (common sunflower)
Lineage: Eukaryota; Viridiplantae; Streptophyta; Magnoliopsida; Asterales; Asteraceae
Description: Bacterial large subunit ribosomal RNA
Rfam family: Bacterial large subunit ribosomal RNA
Source: RNAcentral